RNAcentral lists this ribosomal RNA (463 nucleotides) under uncultured bacterium. RNAcentral's name for it is "partial 16S ribosomal RNA". It matches the Rfam family "Bacterial small subunit ribosomal RNA", at positions 32 to 523 of the family's 1533-position model. The record is from RNAcentral.
AAUCAACGCUGGCGGCGUGCCUAACACAUGCAAGUCGCACGAGAAAGGGUCUUCGGAUCUGAGUAAAGUGGCGCACGGGUGAGUAACACGUGAAUUAUCUACCUUCGCGUGGGGAAUAACUUCGGGAAACCGAGGCUAAUACCGCGUAAUAUCUACGGACCAAAGCAGGAAUGCGCUUGAAGAGGAGUUCGCGGCAGAUUAGUUAGUUGGCGGGGUAAUGGCCCACCAAGACGAUGAUCUGUAUUCGGCCUGAGAGGGCGCACGGACACACUGGAACUGAAACACGGUCCAGACUCCUACGGGAGGCAGCAGUGGGGAAUUUUGCGCAAUGGGGGAAACCCUGACGCAGCAACGCCGCGUGGAGGAUGAAGUCUCUUGGGACGUAAACUCCUUUCGAUAGGGAAGAUUAUGACGGUACCUAUAGAAGAAGCCCCGGCUAACUUCGUGCCAGCCGCCGCCGUAA